CACCUUUGACAUGUACGGAAUUUGCCAGAGAUGGCUUAGUGCUCGAAAGAGAACCGUAACACAGGUGCUGCAUGGCUGUCGUCAGCUCGUGUCGUGAGAUGUUGGGUUAAGUCCCGCAACGAGCGCAACCCUUGUCAUUAGUUGCUACAUUUAGUUGGGCACUCUAAUGAGACUGCCGGUGACAAACCGGAGGAAGGUGGGGAUGACGUCAAGUCCUCAUGGCCCUUAUAGGUGGGCUA
RNAcentral lists this ribosomal RNA (239 nucleotides) under uncultured bacterium. Its description in RNAcentral is "partial 16S ribosomal RNA". It matches the Rfam family "Bacterial small subunit ribosomal RNA", at positions 976 to 1212 of the family's 1533-position model. The record is from RNAcentral.